Molecule: ribosomal RNA, 496 nt
Filed under: uncultured bacterium
Lineage: Bacteria
Description: partial 16S ribosomal RNA
Rfam family: Bacterial small subunit ribosomal RNA
Source: RNAcentral
GAUGAACGCUGGCGGCGUGCCUAAUACAUGCAAGUCGAGCGAACAGAUGAGGAGCUUGCUCCUCUGACGUUAGCGGCGGACGGGUGAGUAACACGUGGAUAACCUACCUAUAAGACUGGGAUAACUUCGGGAAACCGGAGCUAAUACCGGAUAAUAUAUUGAACCGCAUGGUUCAAUAGUGAAAGACGGUUUUGCUGUCACUUAUAGAUGGAUCCGCGCCGCAUUAGCUAGUUGGUAAGGUAACGGCUUACCAAGGCAACGAUGCGUAGCCGACCUGAGAGGGUGAUCGGCCACACUGGAACUGAGACACGGUCCAGACUCCUACGGGAGGCAGCAGUAGGGAAUCUUCCGCAAUGGGCGAAAGCCUGACGGAGCAACGCCGCGUGAGUGAUGAAGGUCUUCGGAUCGUAAAACUCUGUUAUUAGGGAAGAACAAAUGUGUAAGUAACUAUGCACGUCUUGACGGGACCUAAUCAGAAAGCCACGGCUAACUACGU